Molecule: small nucleolar RNA, 130 nt
Organism: Myodes glareolus (Bank vole)
Lineage: Eukaryota; Metazoa; Chordata; Mammalia; Rodentia; Cricetidae
Product: small nucleolar RNA SNORA70
Source: RefSeq, a predicted model, not a curated record
CUCCAGGCAGUUAAGCCAAUGGACGGUGUGGGGGUGGGGGAUAGCAUUCAAUGGCUACAAAGAGCAGCCUCCUUGGAGUAUAUACAUCCUACUGCUUGUACAGGUUCCCCUAAGGACUCUGGAGAGUUUU